Molecule: non-coding RNA, 66 nt
Organism: Papio anubis (olive baboon)
Lineage: Eukaryota; Metazoa; Chordata; Mammalia; Primates; Cercopithecidae
Source: Rfam
GAUAAAGUAGCCGAGUAAGCAUUGGAUUGUAAAUCUAAAGACAGAGGUUGAACCCUCUUUUCACCC